This 484-nucleotide ribosomal RNA is filed under the name uncultured bacterium. Its description in RNAcentral is "partial 16S ribosomal RNA". It matches the Rfam family "Bacterial small subunit ribosomal RNA", at positions 28 to 507 of the family's 1533-position model. The record is from RNAcentral.
AUUGAACGCUAGCGGGAUGCUUUACACAUGCAAGUCGAACGGCAGCGCGGACCUUGGUCUGUCGGCGAGUGGCGAACGGGUGAGUAAUGCAUCGGAACGUGCCCAGUAGCGGGGGAUAACUACGCGAAAGCGUAGCUAAUAACGCAUACGCCCUCCGGGGGAAAGCAGGGGAUCGUAAGACCUUGCGCUAUUGGAGCGGCCGGCGUCGGAUUAGCUAGUUGGUGGGGUAACGGCUUACCAAGGCGGCGAUCGGUAGCUGGCGUGAGAGGACGACCAGCCACACGGGGGGUGGGACGCGGCCCAGGGUCCUACGGGAGGCAGCAGUGGGGAAGGGUGGACAAUGGGGGCAACCCUGAUCCAGCGGUCCCGCGUGUGCGAUGAAGGCCUUCGGGUUGGAAAGCACUUUUGGCGGUAGAGAAACGUCGCGGGCUAAUACCACGUGGAAGUGACGGUACCUGGAGAAGAAGCACCGGCUAACUACGUG